Long non-coding RNA from Phyllostomus discolor (pale spear-nosed bat), 892 nucleotides. RefSeq lists it as uncharacterized. The transcript is spliced from 2 exons. The record is from RefSeq and is a predicted model, not a curated record. NCBI's taxonomy places the organism in Eukaryota, Metazoa, Chordata, Mammalia, Chiroptera, Phyllostomidae.
AUGAAAAUACGAUUGUUUCAUUUCCUCCCCUCCCUUCCUACCACCUGGAUGGAUGCUCUUGCCUGGCUGUGGCCACAGCAGAGAGCCACUCUGUCGAUGUCGGGGUGCAUGACGCUUGCUGCCCGUUUACUAGGCUGCGGCUGGUAGUAGACCUGCAAGUCCCGCGAAUUGGUUGUUUUGGCAAAUUCACAAAACCCCUUGUGGAGCCCAGGCAGUGUUUCAGAAGCGGAGCACGUAAAAAGUGUCCUAAGAAAGCAUGUGUGUUGCCAGAGGUUUUAAGGUGUGCUCUUCCCUCUCUGGGCAAAGGCACCUUUUAUAAACAGGUCGGCCUGGGCUCCUGCCACUCUGCCUCGUCUCCAAGCUCCACGCACCAUUUUCCAUGUAACAUCCCGACCAAAAUCCCGUUCUCUCGCAUCAGUGGAGAGUCACUGCAGAGCAACCAAAAGAAUCUGUGUGAACAUUUCGAUCCCCAGCGGCGCCUGGCCAGCUAGGAGCCCCUGCCCUGAGCUGGACACCCUCACAUGCCUGGUUUCUUCCUAACGGAGGAGCAGGGAGAGGGGGGGUCCAGAGAAGCCAGACGUUGCUGGGCCACCGACGGCAUUUCAGAUACAAACCACACUAGGUUCUAGUUAAUUGGACAUUUCUCUUUCUCAAGAAUAACAUUUUUAAAAAAAAAAACAAUUAAGAAACUCAUCUGGAAAGUAUGGUCUAUUUUUGGUUUCUUAGGAAGUAUGCUCCCAGAAUCUUCUCUGCUGUUCCCGGAUCUUGGAAGCCCUUCCCGCAUGCCGACUCCACUUUCCGGGUUCUUCUCUUCUGAGUCCAUGUCAGCUGUGCUUCCGACCCCUCCCCUCCACUGAAUCUGCCCUUAUGAAAGCCAGCCACACUGGCCACU